RNAcentral lists this long non-coding RNA (621 nucleotides) under Solanum lycopersicum (tomato). RNAcentral's name for it is "long non-coding RNA (SLYC_LNC001101)". Lineage: Eukaryota; Viridiplantae; Streptophyta; Magnoliopsida; Solanales; Solanaceae. The record is from RNAcentral.
CCGUAUAACUGCAAAUCUGACAUUCCUUUUGAGUUGUUUAACCAGCACUCAAGCCACAUGCAACACACUGAUCAGAUUUCAUAUUCAAAUCCCAAAUCCUCCCUUUAUCUCCAUUCACCAACCAGACAUAUGAAGAAAUGAGGAAAAUAAAGCAUUAGAAGCAAUUGAAGAAAAUCAUUCUCCUGCUCCUAUUUUUUUAAGCAUCCUAAACACAAUCGCUGUUAAAAAUGAUUUUCGCGCAAAUUUCUCAAAGCUUCAGAAGACCCGUGAGUAAGUAAUAAGAAAACUGUAAGAUUUUCUGUAGAUUACAACUUGAUGUAGUAAAUUGACUUUUUUUUUAAAAAGAAAAAUAUUCAAUCAGUUCAGAUGCUGAAAACUCUUAUCGCUGAAGUUCAACCAGUAAGAAGUUGAUAAAGAGGAGCACAAAUUAACCAAACAAAUAUCACUUCACAAAAGAUCCUGCCGGAAAACUCACCUCAAAACCGAUAAGUCGCCGGAAAAAUCUAGAACUUAGCCAAAAACCGAUACUUGAACGGCACAAAGACAGCAGUAGAACCCUAAUUUGAUGCUCGGAAAGACAAAUCUCGGAGUUUCUGGAUAGAGAGAGAAAGAGAACAAACA